Molecule: ribosomal RNA, 454 nt
Filed under: uncultured bacterium
Lineage: Bacteria
Description: bacterial SSU rRNA
Rfam family: Bacterial small subunit ribosomal RNA
Source: RNAcentral
GACGAACGCUGGCGGCACGCUUAACACAUGCAAGUCGAACGAAGAUGUUUCACCGUAGCUUGCUACACCGAGACAUUUUAGUGGCGGACGGGUGAGUAACACGUGAGCAAUCUGCCUUUCAGAGGGGGAUACCAGUUGGAAACGACUGUUAAUACCGCAUAACAUAUCGAGAUCGCAUGAUAUUGAUAUCAAAGAUUUAUCGCUGAAAGAUGAGCUCGCGUCUGAUUAGAUAGUUGGUGAGGUAACGGCUCACCAAGUCGACGAUCAGUAGCCGGACUGAGAGGUUGGACGGCCACAUUGGGACUGAGACACGGCCCAGACUCCUACGGGAGGCAGCAGUGGGGAAUAUUGCACAAUGGGCGCAAGCCUGAUGCAGCGAUGCCGCGUGAGGGAAGAAGUUUUAGGAUUGUAAACCUCUGUCUUCGAGGGACGAUAAUGACGGUACCUGAGGAGG